GGGCUCAUAGCUCAGGUGGUUAGAGCGCACGCCUGAUAAGCGUGAGGUCGGAGGUUCGAGUCCUCUUGAGCCCA
Molecule: transfer RNA, 74 nt
Filed under: Eubacterium sp. CAG:251
Lineage: Bacteria; Bacillati; Bacillota; Clostridia; Eubacteriales; Eubacteriaceae
Rfam family: tRNA
About the family: Transfer RNA (tRNA) molecules are approximately 80 nucleotides in length. Their secondary structure includes four short double-helical elements and three loops (D, anti-codon, and T loops). Further hydrogen bonds mediate the characteristic L-shaped molecular structure. tRNAs have two regions of fundamental functional importance: the anti-codon, which is responsible for specific mRNA codon recognition, and the 3' end, to which the tRNAs corresponding amino acid is attached (by aminoacyl-tRNA synthetases). tRNAs cope with the degeneracy of the genetic code in two manners: having more than one tRNA (with a specific anti-codon) for a particular amino acid; and 'wobble' base-pairing, i.e. permitting non-standard base-pairing at the 3rd anti-codon position.
Source: Rfam by way of RNAcentral